AGAGGGCGUGAAACCGCUUAGAAGGAAACGAGAGGCGCCGCAGUUUGCCUUCAAGAUUCAACAGAUGUGUCUACUGCGUCGGUAGUCAUUCUGUGCAUUUCUUGUUGGUAUGCACUGAGGGUCGUGUUGGCUGUGCUGCUCGCAGUCGGAAGGGAAACACGUUUGUGUCAUUCAGACGGCUGUGCGUUGUGCGGCUGGUACGGUUGUAGUGGUAUCCUGAACAGCUCGGUGUAGGAUGAGCGCUGUUUGUUGCUUGGCUGCUGGUCUCGGCCGGUUGUCGGGCUGCGCGUUUUGUGAUUCCUGCGCUGAGGAGAUACCCACUCGGUGUUAAUGUCGGCUACCCUCCCGACCCGUCUUGAAACACGGACCAAGGAGUCUAACAUGUGCGCGAGUCAAUGGGUUGUAAACCUACAGGCGCAAUGAAAGUAAAGGCCAAUUCGGUUGGUUGACACACGACCCGUUCAGCUUGCUGAGUGGAGCAGUGUGGUCCCAUCUCAGAUGCUUGUCAUCGAGGUGGAGAUUGAGCGUACGUGUUGGGACCCGAAAGAUGGUGAACUAUGCCUGAACAGGAUGAAGCCAGAGGAAACUCUGGUGGAAGUCCGAAGCGGUUCUGACGUGCAAAUCGA
This 626-nucleotide ribosomal RNA is filed under the name Desmoscolecidae sp. 406_5-1000_X. RNAcentral describes it as "eukaryotic LSU rRNA". It matches the Rfam family "Eukaryotic large subunit ribosomal RNA", at positions 392 to 901 of the family's 3401-position model. Lineage: Eukaryota; Metazoa; Nematoda; Chromadorea; Desmoscolecida; Desmoscolecidae. The record is from RNAcentral.